RNAcentral lists this ribosomal RNA (316 nucleotides) under uncultured Acidobacteriota bacterium. RNAcentral describes it as "bacterial SSU rRNA". It matches the Rfam family "Bacterial small subunit ribosomal RNA", at positions 15 to 315 of the family's 1533-position model. Lineage: Bacteria; Pseudomonadati; Acidobacteriota. The record is from RNAcentral.
GAUCCUGGCUCAGAAUCAACGCUGGCGGCGUGCCUAACNACAUGCAAGUCGAACGCGAAAGUGGAGCAAUSSRUGAGUAGAGUGGCAAACGGGUGAGUAACACGUGGGUGACCUGCCUUCGAGUGGGGGAUAACGUCCCGAAAGGGACGCUAAUACCGCAUGACAUCCUGCCUUUGAAGAGGUGGAGAUCAAAGCCGGGGAUUCGCAAGACCCUGGCGCUUGAAGAGGGGCCCGCGUCUGAUUAGCUAGUUGGUGGGGUAACGGCUCACCAAGGCUACGAUCAGUAUCCGGCCUGAGAGGGCGGACGGACACACUG